GCAACUUCGUCACCUUCGUUCUUCCUCCUCCGGCCACCUUUUGCUUCGAUUCCAAAGGGAAUCCUGCUCUCCUCAGUCCCCUCUACACGUCUGUGCUGGUGAUUAGUUGUGGGAAGCACCGUAGACGACGCUACAAGGCCGGAAAGUUGGUGGCGGCGAUGCAAAAAAAUACCCAGAUUUGAGAUCAUGUUUCCGGCCACCAUAGCAGGUGAUUCAUGGGGGCUUUUGAAGACCAGAGGCCGUAGAUGCUUACCUCCAAGCGGCUUGCAACGAUUUCACCUGUGGAGCUCGAGUUUUGAAGAUUGGGAUUUUAGGGUUCUUCGGUUUCAAACCUUUCGAGGUGAUUGACGGUCUUUCUUGGUGAGCGGUUUUGGUGUGUUUUGUGAAAUUGAAGACGCAGCGGGAUUAGAGCGGGUAAUCCUGCAGGUUAGGAGAAUCAGGGCGGUGAUCGUGCGGGUUAGAGUAAUUGUUAUAGUUUUACAGUGAUUGUAAUAGUGAGGUGAGUUAAGCUCAUUUGAGCCUUACAAUUUGAUUUGGUGAGAGUGAGCUGUAAUAAUUAACUUGAGAAAUUGGUUUAUUGUAUUUUUGAGAGGUGUGAAGUGUGGUUGUUUUGAGAAAAAAAUUUAGGACUUUUAUUUGUAAUAGUUAUUAUUCAUGUUUCGGAUUUGAAUUGUUUAUUCAAAAUUCGGGGC
Long non-coding RNA from Rosa chinensis, 692 nucleotides. RefSeq lists it as uncharacterized. Lineage: Eukaryota; Viridiplantae; Streptophyta; Magnoliopsida; Rosales; Rosaceae. The record is from RefSeq and is a predicted model, not a curated record. The transcript has 3 exons.